Molecule: ribosomal RNA, 497 nt
Filed under: uncultured bacterium
Lineage: Bacteria
Description: partial 16S ribosomal RNA
Rfam family: Bacterial small subunit ribosomal RNA
Source: RNAcentral
GAUGAACGCUGGCGGCGUGCCUAAUACAUGCAAGUCGAGCGAACAGACGAGGAGCUUGCUCCUCUGACGUUAGCGGCGGACGGGUGAGUAACACGUGGAUAACCUACCUAUAAGACUGGGAUAACUUCGGGAAACCGGAGCUAAUACCGUAUAAUAUAUUGAACCGCAUGGUUCAAUAGUGAAAGACGGUUUUGCUGUCACUUAUAGAUGGAUCCGCGCCGCAUUAGCUAGUUGGUAAGGUAACGGCUUACCAAGGCAACGAUGCGUAGCCGACCUGAGAGGGUGAUCGGCCACACUGGAACUGAGACACGGUCCAGACUCCUACGGGAGGCAGCAGUAGGGAAUCUUCCGCAAAGGGCGAAAGCCUGACGGAGCAACGCCGCGUGAGUGAUGAAGGUCUUCGGAUCGUAAAACUCUGUUAUUAGGGAAGAACAAAUGUGUAAGUAACUAUGCACGUCUUGACGGUACCUAAUCAGAAAGCCACGGCUAACUACGUG